RNAcentral lists this ribosomal RNA (161 nucleotides) under Neuropogon antarcticus. RNAcentral's name for it is "5.8S ribosomal RNA". It matches the Rfam family "5.8S ribosomal RNA". From Rfam's summary of the family: 5.8S ribosomal RNA (5.8S rRNA) is a component of the large subunit of the eukaryotic ribosome. It is transcribed by RNA polymerase I as part of the 45S precursor that also contains 18S and 28S rRNA. RNAcentral also lists the same sequence under 1 other name. Lineage: Eukaryota; Fungi; Ascomycota; Lecanoromycetes; Lecanorales; Parmeliaceae. The record is from RNAcentral.
AAAAACUUUCAACAACGGAUCUCUUGGUUCCAGCAUCGAUGAAGAACGCAGCGAAAUGCGAUAAGUAAUGUGAAUUGCAGAAUUCAGUGAAUCAUCGAAUCUUUGAACGCACAUUGCGCCCCUUGGUAUUCCGGGGGGCAUGCCUGUUCGAGCGUCAUUAC